CCCGGCACAAGCGGUGGAGCAUGUGGUUUAAUUCGACGCAACGCGAAGAACCUUACCAGGGCUUGACAUCCUCUGACCGCAUAUGAAAGUAUGUUUUCUGGCUUCGGUCAGACAGAGAGACAGGUGGUGCAUGGUUGUCGUCAGCUCGUGUCGUGAGAUGUUGGGUUAAGUCCCGCAACGAGCGCAACCCCUACGUUUAGUUGCUAACGUGUAACGAUGAGCACUCUAGGCGGACUGCCGUUGACAAAACGGAGGAAGGUGGGAUGACGUCAAAUCAUCAUGCCCCUUAUGUUCUGGGCUACACACGUGCUACAAUGGCCGGUACAGACGGACGCAAAGCCGCGAGGUGGAGCAAAUCCUAAAAAGCCGGUCUCAGUUCGGAUUGCAGGCUGCAAUUCGCCUGCAUGAAGUCGGAAUCGCUAGUAAUCGCAGGUCAGCAUACUGCGGUGAAUACGUUCCCGGGCCUU
Molecule: ribosomal RNA, 467 nt
Filed under: uncultured Cryptanaerobacter sp.
Lineage: Bacteria; Bacillati; Bacillota; Clostridia; Eubacteriales; Desulfotomaculaceae
Description: bacterial SSU rRNA
Rfam family: Bacterial small subunit ribosomal RNA
Source: RNAcentral